CCUACGGGUAGCAGCAGUCGAGAAUCAUUCACAAUGGGGGAAACCCUGAUGGUGCGACGCCGCGUGGGGGAAUGAAGGUCUUCGGAUUGUAAACCCCUGUCAUGUGGGAGCAAAUUAAAAAGAUAGUACCACAAGAGGAAGAGACGGCUAACUCUGUGCCAGCAGCCGCGGUAAUACAGAGGUCUCAAGCGUUGUUCGGAAUCACUGGGCGUAAAGCGUGCGUAGGCUGUUUCGUAAGUCGUGUGUGAAAGGCGCGGGCUCAACCCGCUGACGGCACAUGAUACUGCGAGACUAGAGUAAGGGAGGGGGAACCGGAAUUCUCGGUGUAGCAGUGAAAUGCGUAGAUAGCGAGAGGAACACUCGUGGCGAAGGCGGGUUCCUGGACAUUAACUGACGCUGAGGCACGAAGGCCAGGGGAGCGAAAGGGAUUAGAUACCCUGGUAGUC
RNAcentral lists this ribosomal RNA (446 nucleotides) under uncultured bacterium. RNAcentral's name for it is "partial 16S ribosomal RNA". It matches the Rfam family "Bacterial small subunit ribosomal RNA", at positions 338 to 795 of the family's 1533-position model. The record is from RNAcentral.